AUUUGACGAUGUGGGCAUUUUUGCAAAAGGUCCGUAAAAGGCUCCCAUAUCUCAAAAAAUUGCUCACCAUCUAUCUAUGAUAAACUAGUGAUGGCCUUCCUAAGCU
Molecule: small nucleolar RNA, 106 nt
Organism: Malania oleifera
Lineage: Eukaryota; Viridiplantae; Streptophyta; Magnoliopsida; Santalales; Ximeniaceae
Source: RefSeq, a predicted model, not a curated record